UACGUAGGUGGCAAGCGUUGUCCGGAUUUAUUGGGCGUAAAGGGAGCGCAGGCGGUGACUUAAGUCUGAUGUGAAAGCCCACGGCUCAACCGUGGAAGGUCAUUGGAAACUGGGUCACUUGAAUAUAGAAGAGGAAAGUGGAAUUCCAUGUGUAGCGGUGAAAUGCGUAGAUAUAUGGAGGAACACCAGUGGCGAAGGCGGCUUUCUGGACUUAUACUGACGCUGAGGCGCGAGAGCCGGGGGAGCGAACAGGAUUAGAUACCCCCGUAGU
Molecule: ribosomal RNA, 271 nt
Filed under: uncultured prokaryote
Description: partial 16S ribosomal RNA
Rfam family: Bacterial small subunit ribosomal RNA
Source: RNAcentral